RNAcentral lists this ribosomal RNA (253 nucleotides) under uncultured bacterium. RNAcentral's name for it is "partial 16S ribosomal RNA". It matches the Rfam family "Bacterial small subunit ribosomal RNA", at positions 524 to 776 of the family's 1533-position model. The record is from RNAcentral.
UACGAAGGGUGCAAGCGUUACUCGGAAUUACUGGGCGUAAAGCGUGCGUAGGUGGUUUGUUAAGUCUGAUGUGAAAGCCCUGGGCUCAACCUGGGAACUGCAUUGGAAACUGGCUGACUAGAGUGCGGUAGAGGGGUGUGGAAUUCCCGGUGUAGCAGUGAAAUGCGUAGAUAUCGGGAGGAACAUCUGUGGCGAAGGCGACACCCUGGACCAGCACUGACACUGAGGCACGAAAGCGUGGGGAGCAAACGGG